Molecule: small nuclear RNA, 107 nt
Organism: Tupaia belangeri (northern tree shrew)
Lineage: Eukaryota; Metazoa; Chordata; Mammalia; Scandentia; Tupaiidae
Source: Ensembl
GUGCUUGCUUUGGCAUCACAUGUACUAAAAUUGGAACAAUACAGAGAAGAUGAGCAUGGCCCCUGUGCAAGGAUGACACACAAAUCUGUGAAGUGGUCCAUAUAUAU